CUGGGGAGGCCAGGAGGGGGGCAACAGGCACAGCGGAGAGAGGGCCUGGGAGCCACUGGCCAGUGCCUGCUUCCUGUUCCCUGGCCUGGGCCAGCGGGCGCUGAGGCGAGGCCAGAGGGCACUCAGCCCGCCUACGGAAUGGCCCGGAGUGUUGCCUCUCGCUCAAGUGGGAAAUGCACAUUUAUCUGGGGAGCUGCCAGCAGCAGGCCAGCACAGUGGCAGCCCUUCCCAGAGCCCUGGCCCUCCUCCGCCCCCGCCUCUGUCCUGCAGAGGGGAGGCCAGCCCAGGAGCCCCCAGCCGUCCAUUUCCUCUCUAGCAGGACAAGGCACAGCUGGGCUCUACAGCCUCAGCCUGUGCCAGGCUGGGUACCUCACCUCCCAGCCAGUGACACUUCCCUGCCCUCCGCUGUCCCAAAGGCAGCAAGAACCGGCCCAGCUGCUGUAAUGGAAACUUCCUGGCCAGUCUGUGAGCUUCGACAGCUCGGGUUCCACCCCGCGUGAGGCUCAGUCUUCAGCUAGCUCUUCAGGUGGCUGGGCCGUCCUGGCAACGCAGGAGCCAGGGUGGGCCGUGUGUGCUCAUUUGUGCGUGCGUGUGUGUGUGUGUGUGUGUGUGUGUGUGUGUACGCGUAUUUGCAUGUCCCCCUCCAGCCCCACAGGACAACACUGGAGCCGGCCACCACACACCAGGACCAUGCUCCAGUAAAUGAGGACCACCACUCGAGCAUUGUGCCCCGACUCCCACCCAGAAAGCCCGUGUCGGACCAGAGAGGAUGUGGAGGCCACCAGGGGCUCAGUGCGGCCCCAGGCCCCGGCGGUAAGGCUUCCGAGGCAGUGGCUGUGUGGGCUCCGAGGUGGACAGGCGAGGACAAAAGGAUCCUGGGCCCCACCCUGCAGCUAAGGCCAUGGAACUGGAAGAGACAGGGCCAGAGUGUGCGGGGGCUGAGUGUGCGGGGCUGAGUGUGCGGGGGCUGAGUGUGCGGGGCCAGGCGGGGAGCAGCACUGACGGAGGGAGGGCUGGGCGCAAGCAGGGGCGGAGACUGCGGCCCAGCUGUCACACAGGAGGGCCGGACCCCAGGCGGAGCUGUGGGCUCCCGGGGACGGUGCCGAGCACCCAGCGCUGGAGGCCUUGGAGCAGCCGCAUCGUGUCACAGAUGAGGGCUCCGGGGGGCCAUCUUCCAAACCAGGCUGUGCUGACCAGGGCAGCUCCAGGGCCAGCUGGGCAUGGCCAGGAGGAGGAGGCCAGCUCCUCGGGGGCCCCAGCAGCCCACCAAGGCCUCCAGCCACCCUGGUCCCCUGCGCUGGCCCACCCCACCAAGCUGGACCCCACCCCACAAUCCCCCAUGUCUCAAGGUCCCCCCGGACCCUCUGGGGACCAAACAGCAGCCUGACACCCCCAAACUGCCCAGGCCUGGCACUCACCUGGGAGGUGGGCGCCCCAGCUGGGGAGGCUGAGGUUGGGUCGGGGGCUGCCACAGCUCCCCUCACCCUGCCCCGCUGCCACAGUGGCCAAGUCCUGAGCCCUUCCCCUGGGCCUGGUCACCACCAUGAGUCUGUGUGUGUCCAGGCUGGAGGACUGGUCCGAGGGCCCCGCCAGCUGUGAAGGGUUGCUGUUCUCAUCUCUGAGCCCCUGGGACUGCUGGGGGCCAGAGCAGGAGCUGCAGCCUGGCCUGGGUCACUGACCUUGCCCACUUGACUUCUGACCCCACCAGCAUAGAGCAGCUGGCACCAGGGCCACGGCCAGGGUGU
This is a long non-coding RNA of Heterocephalus glaber (naked mole-rat), 1745 nucleotides long. NCBI's taxonomy places the organism in Eukaryota, Metazoa, Chordata, Mammalia, Rodentia, Bathyergidae. The record is from Ensembl.